Molecule: ribosomal RNA, 549 nt
Filed under: uncultured bacterium
Lineage: Bacteria
Description: bacterial SSU rRNA
Rfam family: Bacterial small subunit ribosomal RNA
Source: RNAcentral
GGGGAAUCUUCCGCAAUGGACGAAAGUCUGACGGAGCAACGCCGCGUGAGUGAUGACGGCCUUCGGGUUGUAAAGCUCUGUUAAUCGGGACGAAAGGCCUUCUUGCGAAUAGUUAGAAGGAUUGACGGUACCGGAAUAGAAAGCCACGGCUAACUACGUGCCAGCAGCCGCGGUAAUACGUAGGUGGCAAGCGUUGUCCGGAAUUAUUGGGCGUAAAGCGCGCGCAGGCGGAUUGGUCGGUCUGUCUUAAAAGUUCGGGGCUUAACCCCGUGAUGGGAUGGAAACUGCCAAUCUAGAGUAUCGGAGAGGAAAGUGGAAUUCCUAGUGUAGCGGUGAAAUGCGUAGAUAUUAGGAAGAACACCAGUGGCGAAGGCGACUUUCUGGACGAAAACUGACGCUGAGGCGCGAAAGCCAGGGGAGCGAACGGGAUUAGAUACCCCGGUAGUCCUGGCCGUAAACGAUGGGUACUAGGUGUAGGAGGUAUCGACCCCUUCUGUGCCGGAGUUAACGCAAUAAGUACCCCGCCUGGGGAGUACGACCGCAAGGUUG